AGCGUAGCGGCAGCCUUAAAUGCAGUCGACGGUAACAGGUCUUCGGAUGCUGACGAGUGGCGAACGGGUGAGUAAUACAUCGGAACGUGCCCGAUCGUGGGGGAUAACGAAGCGAAAGCUUUGCUAAUACCGCAUAAGAUCUAAGGAUGAAAGCAGGGGACCGCAAGGCCUUGCGCGAACGGAGCGGCCGAUGGCAGAUUAGGUAGUUGGUGGGAUAAAAGCUUACCAAGCCGACGAUCUGUAGCUGGUCUGAGAGGACGACCAGCCACACUGGGACUGAGACACGGCCCAGACUCCUACGGAAGGCAGCAGUGGGGAAUUUUGGACAAUGGGCGGAAAGCCUGAUCCAAGCCAUGCCGCGUGCAGGGAUGAAGGCCUUCGGGUUUGUAAACUGCUUUUGUACGGAAACGAAAAGACUCUGGUUAAUUACCUGGGGUCCAUGACGGUACCGUAAAGAAUAAGCACCGGCUAACUACGUGCCAGCAGCCGCGGUAAAUACGUAGGGUGCAAGCGUUAAUCGGGAAUUACUGGGCGUAAAGCGUGCGCAGGCGGUUAUAUAAGACAGAUGUGAAAUCCCCGGGCUCAACCUGGGAACUGCAUUUUGUGACUGUAUAGCUAGAGUACGGUAGAGGGGGAUGGAAUUCCGCGUGUAGCAGUGAAAUGCGUAGAUAUGCGGAGGAACACCGAUGGCGAAGGCAAUCCCCUGGACCUGUACUGACGCUCAUGCACGAAAGCGUGGGGAGCAAACAGGAUUAGAUACCCUGGUAGUCCACGCCCUAAACGAUGUCAACGGGUUGUUGGGUCUUCACUGACUCAGUAACGAAGCUAACGCGUGAAGUUGACCGCCUGGGGAGUACGGCCGCAAGGUUGAAAACUCAAAGGAAUUGACGGGGACCCGCACAAGCGGUGGAUGAUGUGGUUUAAUUCGAUGCAACGCGAAAAACCUUACCCACCUUUGACAUGUAUGGAAUCCUUUAGAGAUAGAGGAGUGCUCGAAAGAGAGCCAUAACACAGGUGCUGCAUGGCUGUCGUCAGCUCGUGUCGUGAGAUGUUGGGUUAAGUCCCGCAACGAGCGCAACCCUUGCCAUUAGUUGCUACGAAAGGGCACUCUAAUGGGACUGCCGGUGACAAACCGGAGGAAGGUGGGGAUGACGUCAAGUCCUCAUGGCCCUUAUAGGUGGGGCUACACACGUCAUACAAUGGCUGGUACAGAGGGUUGCCAACCCGCGAGGGGGAGCUAAUCCCAUAAAGCCAGUCGUAGUCCGGAUCGCAGUCUGCAACUCGACUGCGUGAAGUCGGAAUCGCUAGUAAUCGCGGAUCAGAAGUCGUCCGAUGCUUG
This 1339-nucleotide ribosomal RNA is filed under the name Acidovorax temperans. RNAcentral's name for it is "bacterial SSU rRNA". It matches the Rfam family "Bacterial small subunit ribosomal RNA", at positions 32 to 1368 of the family's 1533-position model. The record is from RNAcentral. Lineage: Bacteria; Pseudomonadati; Pseudomonadota; Betaproteobacteria; Burkholderiales; Comamonadaceae.